RNAcentral lists this ribosomal RNA (253 nucleotides) under uncultured bacterium. RNAcentral's name for it is "partial 16S ribosomal RNA". It matches the Rfam family "Bacterial small subunit ribosomal RNA", at positions 524 to 776 of the family's 1533-position model. The record is from RNAcentral.
GACAGAGGUGCCGAGCGUUAGGCGGAAUCACUUGGCUUAAAGCGUGUGUAGGCGGAUCGUUAAGUACCUUGUGAAAUCCCACGGCUCAACCGUGGAACGGCUGGGUAUACUGGCGGUCUUGGGCCAUUCAGGGGCGACUGGAACAAGCGGUGGAGCGGUGAAAUGCGUAGAUAUCGCUUGGAACGCCGAAGGUGAAAACAGGUCGCUGGGGAUGUGCCGACGCUGAGACACGAAAGCCAGGGGAGCAAACGGG